AUUUAAAUAGUUUAAUUAAGAAUAAUAAUUUGUGGUGUUAUUGGUGAAUGAUCUAUUCUUUAAAUC
Molecule: transfer RNA, 66 nt
Filed under: Arma custos
Lineage: Eukaryota; Metazoa; Arthropoda; Insecta; Hemiptera; Pentatomidae
Description: tRNA-His
Source: RNAcentral